UACGGGGGGGGCAAGCGUUGUUCGGAAUUACUGGGCGUAAAGCGCGCGUAGGCGGCUUUUCAAGUCAGACGUGAAAGCCCCAGGCUUAACCUGGGAAUUGCGUUUGAUACUGUUAGGCUAGAGUGUGGAAGGGGCUACUGGAAUUCCGUGUGUAGCGGCGAAAUGCGUAGAUAUACGGAGGAACACCAGCGGCGAAGGCGGGUAGCUGGGCCAACACUGACGCUGAUGCGCGAAAGCUAGGGUAGCAAACGGG
Molecule: ribosomal RNA, 253 nt
Filed under: uncultured bacterium
Lineage: Bacteria
Description: partial 16S ribosomal RNA
Rfam family: Bacterial small subunit ribosomal RNA
Source: RNAcentral